This 1118-nucleotide ribosomal RNA is filed under the name Bacillus sp. NCCP-1131. RNAcentral describes it as "bacterial SSU rRNA". It matches the Rfam family "Bacterial small subunit ribosomal RNA", at positions 35 to 1135 of the family's 1533-position model. Lineage: Bacteria; Bacillati; Bacillota; Bacilli; Caryophanales; Bacillaceae. The record is from RNAcentral.
GCAUGGGCGGUGCUAUACAUGCAGUCGAGCGGACAGAUGGGAGCUUGCUCCCUGAUGUUAGCGGCGGACGGGUGAGUAACACGUGGGUAACCUGCCUGUAAGACUGGGAUAACUCCGGGAAACCGGGGCUAAUACCGGAUGGUUGUUUGAACCGCAUGGUUCAAACAUAAAAGGUGGCUUCGGCUACCACUUACAGAUGGACCCGCGGCGCAUUAGCUAGUUGGUGAGGUAACGGCUCACCAAGGCAACGAUGCGUAGCCGACCUGAGAGGGUGAUCGGCCACACUGGGACUGAGACACGGCCCAGACUCCUACGGGAGGCAGCAGUAGGGAAUCUUCCGCAAUGGACGAAAGUCUGACGGAGCAACGCCGCGUGAGUGAUGAAGGUUUUCGGAUCGUAAAGCUCUGUUGUUAGGGAAGAACAAGUACCGUUCGAAUAGGGCGGUACCUUGACGGUACCUAACCAGAAAGCCACGGCUAACUACGUGCCAGCAGCCGCGGUAAUACGUAGGUGGCAAGCGUUGUCCGGAAUUAUUGGGCGUAAAGGGCUCGCAGGCGGUUUCUUAAGUCUGAUGUGAAAGCCCCCGGCUCAACCGGGGAGGGUCAUUGGAAACUGGGGAACUUGAGUGCAGAAGAGGAGAGUGGAAUUCCACGUGUAGCGGUGAAAUGCGUAGAGAUGUGGAGGAACACCAGUGGCGAAGGCGACUCUCUGGUCUGUAACUGACGCUGAGGAGCGAAAGCGUGGGGAGCGAACAGGAUUAGAUACCCUGGUAGUCCACGCCGUAAACGAUGAGUGCUAAGUGUUUAAGGGGGUUUCCGCCCCUUAGUGCUGCAGCUAACGCAUUAAGCACUCCGCCCUGGGGGAGUACGGUCGCAAGACUGAAACUCAAAGGAAUUUGACGGGGGCCCGCACAAGCGGUGGAGCCAUGGGGUUUAAUUCGAAGCAACGCGAAGACCCUUACCAGGUCUUGACAUCCUCUGACAUCCUAGAAGAUAGGACGUCCCCUUCGGGGGCAGAGUGACAGUGGGUGGCAUGGUUGUCGUCAGCUCGUGUCGUGAAGAGUGUUGGGUUAAGUCCCGCACGAGCGCACCCUUGAUCUAGUGCCAGCAUUCAGUGGG